CAGUAGCCGCGGGAAUACGAAGGGUGCAAGCGUUACUCGGAAUUACUGGGCGUAAAGCGUGCGUAGGUGGUGGUUUAAGUCCGUUGUGAAAGCCCUGGGCUCAACCUGGGAAUUGCAGUGGAUACUGGGUCACUAGAGUGUGGUAGAGGAUAGUGGAAUUUCCGGUGUAGCAGUGAAAUGCGUAGAGAUCGGAAGGAACAUCUGUGGCGAAGGCGACUAUCUGGGCCAACACUGACACUGAGGCACGAAAGCGUGGGGAGCAAACAGGAUUAGAUACCCGGGUAGUCCCUGUCUCUUAUCC
RNAcentral lists this ribosomal RNA (301 nucleotides) under uncultured bacterium. RNAcentral's name for it is "partial 16S ribosomal RNA". It matches the Rfam family "Bacterial small subunit ribosomal RNA", at positions 509 to 809 of the family's 1533-position model. The record is from RNAcentral.